AAAAGAUGAUUUUAUGAAAUAAAGCGAUGGCAAGCAUUUUGGGAUCCAUGCUUCUUGAUUCUUGAAUGUGAUUUUCCUUAAGCAUGGAUAUAGACAACUAACCUUGGGGCAAAAGUGAAAUCCUUUCAAAACCCUUAGCAUCCCUCGAGUAUUUGUUGUCCACUAACAAUUUGUAGGGAAUAAAAAAGACAACCAAGGAGCAGUAUUCAACAACUCUGACACUUCUACAAAGCUCCUU
This 238-nucleotide long non-coding RNA is filed under the name Setaria italica (foxtail millet). RNAcentral describes it as "long non-coding RNA (SITA_LNC005014)". The record is from RNAcentral. Lineage: Eukaryota; Viridiplantae; Streptophyta; Magnoliopsida; Poales; Poaceae.